Molecule: ribosomal RNA, 303 nt
Filed under: uncultured bacterium
Lineage: Bacteria
Description: partial 16S ribosomal RNA
Rfam family: Bacterial small subunit ribosomal RNA
Source: RNAcentral
AGCAGUAGCCACGGGAAUACGAAGGGUGCAAGCGUUACUCGGAAUUACUGGGCGUAAAGCGUGCGUAGGUGGUGGUUUAAGUCCGUUGUGAAAGCCCUGGGCUCAACCUGGGAAUUGCAGUGGAUACUGGGUCACUAGAGUGUGGUAGAGGAUAGUGGAAUUUCCGGUGUAGCAGUGAAAUGCGUAGAGAUCGGAAGGAACAUCUGUGGCGAAGGCGACUAUCUGGGCCAACACUGACACUGAGGCACGAAAGCGUGGGGAGCAAACAGGAUUAGAUACCCCUGUAGUCCCUGUCUCUUAUAC